ACACAUCAUGCGACAUGGUUAGUGUUUCUUAGUUUUGCAUGGAUGUGAGGAAGAGUUUAUUUCAUUGUGCUCACGUUACCUGUGCGCGAAUUUGUUGAUAGGCGUUAUGGAAUGAAUCUCCCUAAAGAUGCAGAUAUAAAUGAUGGAGUGUUGUCUCAUAGUUGCUAGGCAUUUGUAAUGAGAUAUGCAUUGUCGUUUGUUAAACAAUUUGGCAUACCAAGAGAGGGGGAGAUGUAUUUUA
Molecule: long non-coding RNA, 241 nt
Organism: Arabidopsis thaliana (thale cress)
Lineage: Eukaryota; Viridiplantae; Streptophyta; Magnoliopsida; Brassicales; Brassicaceae
Product: other RNA
Exons: 1
Source: RefSeq